RNAcentral lists this ribosomal RNA (485 nucleotides) under uncultured bacterium. RNAcentral's name for it is "partial 16S ribosomal RNA". It matches the Rfam family "Bacterial small subunit ribosomal RNA", at positions 28 to 523 of the family's 1533-position model. The record is from RNAcentral.
GACGAACGCUGGCGGCGUGCUUAACACAUGCAAGUCGAACGGUGAACCCGGAGCUUGCUCCGGUGGAUUAGUGGCGAACGGGUGAGUAACACGUGAGUAACCUGCCCUUGACUCUGGGAUAACUGCGGGAAACUGUAGCUAAUACCGGCUACGACACUCGGCGGCAUCGCCAGGCGGUGGAAAGAAUUUCGGUCAAGGAUGGACUCGCGGCCUAUCAGCUAGUUGGUGAGGUAACGGCUCACCAAGGCGACGACGGGUAGCCGGCCUCGAGAGGGUGACCGGCCACACUGGGACUGAGAUACGGCCCAGACUCCUACGGGAGGCAGCAGUGGGGAAUAUUGCACAAUGGGCGCAAGCUUGAUGCAGCAACGCCGCGUGAGGGAUGACGGCCUUCGGGUUGUAAACCUCUUUUAGUAGGGAAGAAGCGAAAGUGACGGUACCUGCAGAAAAAGCACCGGCUAACUACGUGCCAGCCGCCGCAGUAA